AUUGAACGCUGGCGGCAGGACUAACACAUGCAAGUCGAACGAGUGGCGGACGGGUGAGUAAUGUCUGGGAAACUGCCAGAUGGAGGGGGAUAACUACUGGACACGGUAGCUAAUACCGCAUACCAUCGGAUGUGCCCAGAUGGGAUUAGCUGGUAGGUGGGGUAACGGCUGACCUAGCCGACGCUCCCGAGCUGGUCUGAGAGGAUGACCAGCAACACUGGAACUGAUACACGGUCCAGACUCCUACGGGAGGCAGCAGUGGGGAAUAGUGCACAAUGGGUGCAAGCCUGAUGCAGCCAUGCCGCGUGUAUGAAGAAGGCCUUCGGGUUGUAAAGUACUUUCAGAGGGGAGGCGUUACUCGCAGAAGAAGCACCGGCUAACUCCGUGCCAGCAGCCGCGGUAAUAC
This 406-nucleotide ribosomal RNA is filed under the name uncultured bacterium. RNAcentral describes it as "partial 16S ribosomal RNA". It matches the Rfam family "Bacterial small subunit ribosomal RNA", at positions 30 to 526 of the family's 1533-position model. The record is from RNAcentral.